UCAAAUAAUGAUCCCACCAUCCUUUAAGCAAACCAGUAAAUCCUAUGACUAAGGCACCGGCAGCAUGAAAGUCAGAAUUACUAGUCUUGAUUCUAUAUGCAUUAGCAGCCAUCAUCAUUUCAUGAAGCAGAUUGAUUAUUUGAUGUUCACUCAUUCCAUCUAUAUUCCAUUCAUAAAAACUACUACCAUCAUAACUAGCAGCUAAUUGAUAAUUUCUUUCUUCUAAUUGGACAUCAGGAAAAGAAGGUUUUGAAUAAUAAUUUUUUCUACUUACAAAAUUAUUAGAAAUUGCAUUGACUGUUGCAGGAGGUUUUACUAUUGAAUCAGGAGACAUUUUGAAUUGUUCUUCUAU
This 352-nucleotide long non-coding RNA is filed under the name Vitis vinifera (wine grape). RNAcentral describes it as "long non-coding RNA (VVIN_LNC003517)". The record is from RNAcentral. Lineage: Eukaryota; Viridiplantae; Streptophyta; Magnoliopsida; Vitales; Vitaceae.